Molecule: ribosomal RNA, 389 nt
Filed under: uncultured bacterium
Lineage: Bacteria
Description: partial 16S ribosomal RNA
Rfam family: Bacterial small subunit ribosomal RNA
Source: RNAcentral
AUACGGAGGAUCCGAGCGUUAUCCGGAUUUACUGGGUGUAAAGGGCGCGUAGACGGAAGGCCAAGUCUGAUGUGAAAGCCCGCGGCUCAACUGCGGGACUGCAUUGGAAACUGGUCAUCUGGAGUGCAGGAGGGGUAAGCGGAAUUCCUAGUGUAGCGGUGAAGUGCGUAGAUAUUAGGAGGAACACCGGUGGCGAAAACGGCUUACUAGACUGAUACUGACCUCGAGGCACGAAAGCGAGGGGAGCAGACAGGAUUAGAUACCCUGAUAGUACACGCAGUAAACAAUGAGUACUAAGUGGUGGCGCAAUUCAGCGCUGAAGUUAACGCAUUAAGUUCUCAGCCUGGGGAGUACGGACGCACGUAUGAAACUUAAAGGAAUUUCCGGUG